RNAcentral lists this transfer RNA (74 nucleotides) under compost metagenome. RNAcentral describes it as "tRNA-Arg". It matches the Rfam family "tRNA". From Rfam's summary of the family: Transfer RNA (tRNA) molecules are approximately 80 nucleotides in length. The record is from RNAcentral.
UUGCCUGUAGCUCAGAUGAUAGACUAACCGCCUUCUAAGCAGUUAGUCGCUAGUUCGAACCCAGCCAUGCGAGC